UACGGAGGGUGCAAGCGUUGUUCGGAAUUACUGGGCGUAAAGAGUGCGUAGGCGGUUUGGUAAGUUGGAAGUGAAAUCCCGGGGCUCAACCUCGGAAUUGCUUUCAAUACUGCUAAUCUAGAGUAUGGUAGGGGAUAGUGGAAUUCCUAGUGUAGGGGUGAAAUCCGUAGAUAUUAGGAGGAACACCAGAGGCGAAGGCGACUAUCUGGGCCAUUACUGACGCUAAGGUACGAAAGCGUGGGGAGCAAACAGG
Molecule: ribosomal RNA, 253 nt
Filed under: uncultured bacterium
Lineage: Bacteria
Description: partial 16S ribosomal RNA
Rfam family: Bacterial small subunit ribosomal RNA
Source: RNAcentral